This 468-nucleotide ribosomal RNA is filed under the name uncultured bacterium. RNAcentral describes it as "partial 16S ribosomal RNA". It matches the Rfam family "Bacterial small subunit ribosomal RNA", at positions 28 to 507 of the family's 1533-position model. The record is from RNAcentral.
GACGAACGCUGGCGGCGUGCUUAACACAUGCAAGUCGAACGGAAAGGCCCUGCUUUUGUGGGGUGCUCGAGUGGCGAACGGGUGAGUAACACGUGAGUAACCUGCCCUUGACUUUGGGAUAACUUCAGGAAACUGGGGCUAAUACCGGAUAGGAGCUCCUGCUGCAUGGUGGGGGUUGGAAAGUUUCGGCGGUUGGGGAUGGACUCGCGGCUUAUCAGCUUGUUAGUGGGGUAGUGGCUUACCAAGGCUUUGACGGGUAGCCGGCCUGAGAGGGUGACCGGCCACAUUGGGACUGAGAUACGGCCCAGACUCCUACGGGAGGCAGCAGUGGGGAAUAUUGCACAAUGGGCGGAAGCCUGAUGCAGCAACGCCGCGUGCGGGAUGACGGCCUUCGGGUUGUAACCCGCUUUCGCCUGUGACGAAGCGUGAGUGACGGUAAUGGGUAAAGAAGCACCGGCUAACUACGUG